GAGUGAUUGGGGUGAAGUCGUAACAAGGUAGCUGUAGGUCUGCAGAAGGAUCA
This 53-nucleotide ribosomal RNA is filed under the name uncultured eukaryote. RNAcentral's name for it is "partial small subunit ribosomal RNA". The record is from RNAcentral.